UCCAAGCACAAUCUUUCCAUCAAGUUAUUUACAAAGAAGAGAUACAAGUGUUGAAAUCAAAUUACAAGUGCUGGAGUGAUUUACAAGAAAAGAGAUACAAGUGCUAAAAUCAAAUAAUAUAAGAAUAAUACAACAUCAUAUCGAAUAACCUACUAUGGGGUUUUAACAAGAGCCCAUAUAUUUUUCAAUCUCCAACAAUUGUUCUAUUACAACAAGGCACAAGAUCCUAGCCACAAUUGCUUUGUUUCAAAUAUACUAAAACACGAAUAAGAAUUCUAAUCAAGGAGGUGAAUGUUGGGAUAGAGAUCCAAGUUUCCACUCAUCUCUUUCAAACUCAAACCCAUGUUCACAUCCCCAUUCCCGCUUAGAAACCCAACGAGUCUAUUAUAAGUGACAAUCGAGCCUCAUCCUUCUCUUGAUCAUUUCAUCGAACACUCAAUGGGCUUCUUCAAAUCUAACCUUUUCACAAU
RNAcentral lists this long non-coding RNA (470 nucleotides) under Elaeis guineensis (African oil palm). RNAcentral describes it as "long non-coding RNA (EGUI_LNC030404)". Lineage: Eukaryota; Viridiplantae; Streptophyta; Magnoliopsida; Arecales; Arecaceae. The record is from RNAcentral.